GAUGGACGCUGGCGGCGUGCUUAACACAUGCAAGUCGAACGAAGCACUUUAACCUGAUUCUUCGGAUGAAGGUUUUUGUGACUGAGUGGCGGACGGGUGAGUAACGCGUGGGUAACCUGCCUCAUACAGGGGGAUAACAGUUAGAAAUGACUGCUAAUACCGCAUAAGACCACAGAGCCGCAUGGCUCGGUGGGAAAAACUCCGGUGGUAUGAGAUGGACCCGCGUCUGAUUAGGUAGUUGGUGGGGUAACGGCCUACCAAGCCAACGAUCAGUAGCCGACCUGAGAGGGUGACCGGCCACAUUGGGACUGAGACACGGCCCAAACUCCUACGGGAGGCAGCAGUGGGGAAUAUUGCACAAUGGGGGAAACCCUGAUGCAGCGACGCCGCGUGAGCGAAGAAGUAUUUCGGUAUGUAAAGCUCUAUCAGCAGGGAAGAAAAUGACGGUACCUGACGAAGAAGCACCGGCUAAAUACGUG
RNAcentral lists this ribosomal RNA (479 nucleotides) under uncultured bacterium. RNAcentral describes it as "partial 16S ribosomal RNA". It matches the Rfam family "Bacterial small subunit ribosomal RNA", at positions 28 to 507 of the family's 1533-position model. The record is from RNAcentral.